AUGGAAGUGUCCAUGUUUGGUGAGGAACAUCACCGGUCUGCAUCUCUAGAGACAUCUCACGGUUCCUGUCUGAAACCUGGAGGAGCAGCUGGAGUCGCUCGUCUUCAUCGUUCCAACGUUCAUAGGCGGUUCAGAGUCCAGCGGAUCAGAUAUGUGUGGUUUAGAUUCCAGUGGAUCAGAUAUUUGUGGUUUAGGAUCCAGGGGAUCAGAUAUUUGAUGUUUAGAUUCCAGUGGAUCAGAUAUGUGUGGUUUAGAUUUCAGUGGAUCACAUAUUCGUGGUUUAGAAUCCAGUGGAUCAGAUAUUUGAUGUUUAGAAUCCAGUGGAUCAGAUAUUUGUGGUUUAGAAUCCAGUGGAUCAGAUAUUUGACGUUUAGAAUCCAGUGGAUCAGAUAUUUGUGGUUUAGAAUCCAGUGGAUCAGAUAUUUGUGGUUUAGAAUCCAGUGGAUCAGAUAUUUGUGGUUUAGAAUCCAGUGGAUCAGAUAUUUGAUGUUUAGAAUCCAGUGGAUCAGAUAUUUGUGGUUUAGAUUCCAGUGGAUCAGAUAUUUGUGGUUUAGAAUCCAGUGGAUCAGACAUUUGUGGUUUAGAAUCCAGUGGAUCAGAUAUUUGUGGUUUAGAAUCCAGUGGAUCAGACAUUUGUGGUUUAGAAUCCAGUGGAUCAGAUAUUUGUGGUUUAGAAUCCAGUGGAUCAGACAUUUGUGGUUUAGAAUCCAGUGGAUCAGAUAUUUGAUGUUUAGAUUCCAGUGGAUCAGAUAUUUGUGGUUUAGAAUCCAGUGGAUCAGAUAUUUGAGGUUUAGAAUCCAGUGGAUCAGACAUUUGUGGUUUAGAUUCCAGUGGAUCAGAUAUUUGUGGUUUAGAUUCCAUUGGAUCAAAUAUUUGUGGUUUAGAAUCCAGUGGAUCAGAUAUUUGAUGUUUAGAAUCCAGUGGAUCAGAUAUUUGUGGUUUAGAUUCCAUUGGAUCAAAUAUUUGUGGUUUAGAAUCCAGUGGAUCAGAUAUUUGAUGUUUAGAAUCCAGUGGAUCAGAUAUUUGUGGUUUAAAUCAAAUCAAAAUCAAAGUUACUUUAUUUUUCCGUUAGGAACUUCCUUUGCUGGUGGGAUCACAGGACAAGACAGAGUCAAACAAUCAUCAGUAAAAUCCAUAAACAAAAAUCAUACAAAUCAUUAA
RNAcentral lists this long non-coding RNA (1161 nucleotides) under Oryzias javanicus (javanese ricefish). Its description in RNAcentral is "lncRNA (ENSOJAG00000007601.1)". The record is from RNAcentral. Lineage: Eukaryota; Metazoa; Chordata; Actinopteri; Beloniformes; Adrianichthyidae.